AGGGCUGCACGCUGUGGCCGCAGAAAGCCUGGGUCAGCAGGGGCCCCGUUGGCCUGGGGCGGGCCCACGCCUGCUAGCCGGGACCCCACAUCAGUGCUGAGCCCACCACUGCGCCCGCUGGCCCGGACGCUGCCCCAUUUCCCUGCACAGAGAAACGAGCCCAUGGACGCUGCCCGGGCUGCUCAUGACGCAGCCGCCCAGCACUCCUUGCCAGGCACACAGCAGCAGGAGGUGACCACGAAGUGCGGCACAGAGAGGAGGCGGCCCCCAGCCUGGGACCUCCAAGGCUGGUUCAAUCCAGGCCACGGGCAGGCUCAAGGCUCGUGGGCUAGACGUGCAGGGAGCUGGCAGGACGAGGCUCUGCACUGGCCUCUGGGUUCCAAAGCCAGCACCAAGCCCCGCCUCUCCUGAGUGGGGUGCGGGCCACGGGAGGUGAGCAUGAAGGCAGCCUACCACGCUGCAGAUGGAAGCACCGUCACCCACAGCAAGGACACUGCGUCUUCGUGACAGUCUGAACCAGAACCGGGCACAGCUGAGUGUUCCCACCCCAGGACACCAGACCCUGUGCACAGCAUCACAAGCUCUCCCGCACCACUGAGUACCUCCCGGGUCACCCGGCACCUGUACCCUGAGGGCGAACGGCAGGGCCCAGGAUGGCCCCUGGUGCAUGCGCUUGGCCUGCCGCCUCCUCUGCAAACCCCCGAAGGAGUGGCCAGAGCAGGGCCUCAGGACACUUACCUGGUCCCACUGCCCUGACACUGCCCCCUUACGGGCCUGCCCUCCAUAAAUGCCACCACUGCCCCCAAGUCCUCCCGUCCAAGCACUCACCAUGGCUGCCCAUGUGAGCGGAGGAGAAGCCGCUGAGCGUGUUGCGGCCGGAUGCAUCCGCGUACCGCGGCAUGGAGCUGACUACGGCCUGCAGAUACUUCUCCUGUUCCAGGCUGCUGGAGUCCGCCUGGGACUGGCCUGGCGGGGAGGCGUAGGUGGGGGCGGGGCCCUGGGGCGGGGCGAGGGGCAGGGCGAGGGUGCCGGGGUGGGGCAGGGUCAUAGCAGGCGCGGGGCGCCUACCUGGAGAAGGCGCAUUCUGGGCCUUGAAGAGACCUACGACACCCUUGCCGUGCAGGCCUCCAGAGCGCAGCAACACAGCCUUGGAGCGCCCGCUGCGCCAGCAGACCACCGGAAAGCGGUUCUGGCGGUAGCAGCGGGAGACGCGCUGCAGAGCGUUGUCCUGGACGCUCUGGGGCACGAUCAACAGCCCGGGGUAGCUGCGAGGAGGCGGCGGCGGCGGGUGAGGGCGGCGGCAGCCACUGUGGACCCGCAGCCAGCGCCCCGGGGCCGCGCCAGGGCUCACCUGCGGCAGAUGGCGUACAUGCGGUUCACUGGGGAGAUCCGGAAGGGCUCAGACUUGGCUCGGCUCAGGCUACUGNNNNNNNNNNNNNNNNNNNNNNNNNNNNNNNNNNNNNNNNNNNNNNNNUCCACCAGGCUGCUCAUGGUCAUGCGGUCCGAAGGCUUCAGGGCUGACGACGGCGUCAGCGUGCUGGGCUCCAGCUCCUCCGAAACUGGGGCAGACCAGGCACACGUGGCUCGUCACUCACAGACCUCCCAGGUUCCGGGACAGGGUCCUGGGGGCGGGAGAGCCCGGCCACCACGAUGA
Molecule: long non-coding RNA, 1654 nt
Filed under: Capra hircus (goat)
Lineage: Eukaryota; Metazoa; Chordata; Mammalia; Artiodactyla; Bovidae
Description: lncRNA (ENSCHIG00010029519.1)
Source: RNAcentral